RNAcentral lists this ribosomal RNA (435 nucleotides) under uncultured soil bacterium. Its description in RNAcentral is "bacterial SSU rRNA". It matches the Rfam family "Bacterial small subunit ribosomal RNA", at positions 383 to 810 of the family's 1533-position model. The record is from RNAcentral.
GUGACCGAGCGACGCCGCGUGUGGGAUGAAGGCCUUCGGGUUGUAAACCGCUGUCACAGGUUAAGGACUGGCUUGGUUUUAAUACAUCCAAGCCUUGACAAAGGCCUGAGAGGAAGCCACGGCUAACUUCGUGCCAGCAGCCGCGGUAAGACGAAGGUGGCAACCGUUGUUCGGAAUCACUGGGCAUAAAGCGCACGUAGGCGGGAAAGCAAGUCGGGUGUGAAAUCCCUCGGCCCAACCGAGGAACUGCGCCCGAAACUGCUUUUCUUGAGGGCAGGAGGGGAGCGUGGAAUUCCUGGUGAGCGGUGAAAUGCGUUGAUAUCAGGAGGAACACCGGCGGCGAAGGCGACGCUCUGGCCUGCUUCUGACGCUAAGGUGCGAAAGCCAGGGGAGCAAACGGGAUUAGAUACCCCGGUAGUCCUGGCCGUAAACGAU